AAUCCGGUUGAUCCUGCCGGACCUGACUGCUAUCGGAUUGAUACUAAGCCAUGCGAGUCAUUGUAGUAAUACAAGGCAGACGGCUCAGUAACGCGUAGUCAACCUACCUUAUGGACGGGGAUAACCUCGGGAAACUGAGAAUAAUACCAGAUAGAACAUUAUGCCUGGAAUGGUUUAUGUUUCAAAUAAUUUAUUGCCGUAAGAUGGGACUGCGGCCUAUCAGUUUGUUGGUGAGGUAAUGGCCC
Molecule: ribosomal RNA, 245 nt
Filed under: Candidatus Nitrosopumilus sp.
Lineage: Archaea; Thermoproteati; Nitrososphaerota; Nitrososphaeria; Nitrosopumilales; Nitrosopumilaceae
Description: Nitrosopumilus sp. partial 16S ribosomal RNA
Rfam family: Archaeal small subunit ribosomal RNA
Source: RNAcentral